RNAcentral lists this non-coding RNA (801 nucleotides) under Procryptotermes hesperus. Lineage: Eukaryota; Metazoa; Arthropoda; Insecta; Blattodea; Kalotermitidae. The record is from RNAcentral.
GAGUUUUAUUCUUGCUUUUUUGUUCAGUGUUUUCUUGUUUUAUAUGUAAGUUUUUGCGGGAUUCUAUAUCUCUUGAUGGGGAGUAUUGUUAUUAAUUCGCAUUAUUUGAUUUUAUAUAUCAUGGUUUCUUGGAUUUAGUAAUGAUUUUAGUAUUGGUUAAGUUUGUGCCAGCAGCCGCGGUUAUACAUUAAAUGCUAUUGAAUAUUUUUGGUCAUGCAGUUUUAUUACUUGUUUUGAGUGGGCUUUAAGUUGGAGUUAGGUUUAGUAGUUAAGUGAAAUUUUUACUUUUGUUUAUUGCUCAAGAAUUUUUUGUAGGCUGUGAAAUCUUUUUUGUAAACUAGGAUUAGAUACCCUAUUAUUUUUGAUGUUAAUUAUUUUUGCCUGGGUAGUAUUAGUUGUGUCCUUGAAACCCAAAGAAUUUGGCGGUAUUCCAUUCCUUUCAGAGGAAUCUGCCCCUUAAUCGAUAGUCCGCGUUGGACCUUUCUUAAUAUUUGUUUGUAUACCGCCGUCGUAAUGGGGAUCAUUUUUAGUGUUGUUAAUUUUCUGGUUUCAUUAUUUUGAUUUAUUUCAGGUCAAGGUGCAAUUUGUUUUUAAGUGUGAGGUGGAUUACAAUACGUUGUUUGAGUUUCCGGAUUAUUAAUUGGAAUUAUUUAAUAUGAAGUUGGAUUUGGUUGUAAUUUGUUGAAGAUUGUUUUAAUGAUGAUGGUUCUGGAAUAUGCACACAUCGCCCGUCGCUCUCAUUAUUUUUGUUGAGAUAAGUCGUAACAUAGUGGUCGUACCGGAAGGUGUGGCUGGAUUGAA